This 3846-nucleotide long non-coding RNA is filed under the name Carassius auratus (goldfish). RNAcentral's name for it is "lncRNA (ENSCARG00000014126.1)". Lineage: Eukaryota; Metazoa; Chordata; Actinopteri; Cypriniformes; Cyprinidae. The record is from RNAcentral.
AUGGUCAUGAUGCUAAAGAACAUUCCACGACGUCUCAGACAACGUCAAGGAGGGGGAACUCAGGGCCCAGUGGUUAGAGAGUGGACUCCUAACCCUAGGAGCAGGGCACCGAACCCCCAGCUGCACCCUGGGCACCGCAGCAUAAAUGGUUGCCCACUGCUCCGGGCGUGCGUUCACGGUGUGUGCGCGUUCACUGCCGUAUGUGCACUUGGAUGGGUUAAAUGCAGAGCUGCUUCCACAGGAGCCUUUUCCAUAUCUCCCCAUUGCCGCAGCAGUGCCUGCUCCCGCAGGAGCCUUUUCCGUAUCUCCUCACUGCCGCAGCAGUGUCUGCUCCCGCAGGAGCCCCUUUCGUAUCUCCUCACUGCCGCAGCAGUGUCUGCUCCCGCAGGAGCCCCUUUCGUAUCUCCUCACUGCCACAGCAGUGUCUGCUCCCGCAGGAGCCCCUUUUGUAUCUCCUCACUGCCACAGCAGUGUCUGCUCCCGCAGGAGCCUUUUCUGUACCUCCCCCAGAUAUAAAAAAAAAAAAAAAAAAAAAAAGUCAUCAUGUUAAGCCAUUUCACUGAAAUAAGCUGUUCAGUUUUCACAAUAAGCGACGUGAAUUUCAACAAGGGUUUAUGAUCAGCUUUGAUGCCCCACAUUCCCAGUCGCAUUAGCCUCUGCACAAUACGCCGUUUUCAAACAUAAUAAAAAAUUUUAAUUUAAAAGUCUCUCAGCGGACGCAGUAAAUAUUUAUCCGUUUCCACUGCCCGUCCAGCAAGCACCAGUCUCUCAGCGGACGCAGUAAAUAUUUAUUUGUUUCCAAUGUCCGUCCAGCGAGCACCAGUCUCUCAACGGACGCAGUAAGUAUUUAUUUGUUUCCACUGUCCGUCCAGCGAGCACCAGUCUCUCAGCGGACGCAGUAAAUAUUUAUUUGUUUCCACUGCCCGUCCAGCGAGCACGAGUCUCUCAGCGGACGCAGUAAAUAUUUAUUUGUUUCCACUGUCCGUCCAGCGAGCACCAGUCUCUCAGCAGACGCAGUAAAUAUUUAUCCGUUUCCACUGUCCGUCCAGCGAGCACCAGUCUCUCAGCGGACGCAGUAAAUAUUUAUCCGUUUCCACUGUCCGUCCAGCGAGCACGAGUCUCUCAGCGGACGCAGUAAAUAUUUAUCCGUUUCCACUGUCCGUCCAGCGAGCACCAGUCUCUCAGAGGACGCAGUAAAUAUUUAUCCGUUUCCACUGUCCGUCCAGCGAGCACGAGUCUCUCAACGGACGCAGUAAAUAUUUAUUUGUUUCCACUGCCCGUCCAGUGAGCACGAGUCUCUCAGCGGACGCAGUAAAUAUUUAUCCGUUUCCACUGUCCGUCCAGCGAGAACGAGUCUCUCAGCGGACGCAGUAAAUAUUUAUUCGUUUCCACUGCCCGUCCAGCGAGCACCAGUCUCUCAGCGGACGCAGUAAAUAUUUAUCCGUUUCCACUGUCCGUCCAGCGAGCACCAGUCUCUCAGCGGACACAGUAAAUAUUUAUCCGUUUCCACUGCCCGUCCAGCGAGCACCAGUCUCUCAGCGGACGCAGUAAAUAUUUAUCCGUUUCCACUGCCCGUCCAGCGAGCACCAGUCUCUCAGCGGACGCAGUAAAUAUUUAUUCGUUUCCACUGCCCGUCCAGCGAGCACCAGUCUCUCAGCGGACGCAGUAAAUAUUUAUUUGUUUCCACUGUCCGUCCAGCGAGCACCAGUCUCUCAGCGGACGCAGUAAAUAUUUAUCCGUUUCCACUGUCCGUCCAGCGAGCACCAGUCUGUCAGCGGACGCAGUAAAUAUUUAUUUGUUUCCACUGCCCGUACAGCGAGCACGAGUCUCUCAGCGGACGCAGUAAAUAUUUAUCCGUUUCCACUGUCCGUCCAGCGAGCACGAGUCUCUCAACGGACACAGUAAAUAUUUAUUUGUUUCCACUGUCCGUCCAGCGAGCACCAGUCUCUCAGCGGACGCAGUAAGUCCAUCCAGCAAGCACUAGUCUCUCAGCGGACGCAGUAAAUAUUUAUCCGUUCCACUGUCCGUCCAGCGAGCACUAGUAUAUUUAUCCGUUUCCACUGUCCGUCCAGCGAGCACCAGUCUCUCAGAGGACGCAGUAAAUAUUUAUCCGUUUCCACUUUCCGUCCAGUGAGCAUGAGUCUCUCAGCGGACGCAGUAAAUAUUUAUUUGUUUCCACUGUCCGUCCAGCGAGCACCAGUCUCUCAGCGGACGCAGUAAAUAUUUAUUCGUUUCCACUGUCUGUCCAGCGAGCAUGAGUCUCUCAGCGGACGCAGUAAAUAUUUAUUCGUUUCCACUGUCCGUCCAGCGAGCAUGAGUCUCUCAGCGGACGCAGUAAAUAUUUAUUCGUUUCCACUGUCCGUCCAGCGAGCAUGAGUCUCUCAGCGGACGCAGUAAAUAUUUAUUCGUUUCCACUGUCCGUCCAGCGAGCACGAGUCUCUCAGCGGACGCAGUAAAUAUUUAUUUGUUUCCAAUGUCCGUCCAGCGAGCACCAGUCUCUCAGCGGACGCAGUAAAUAUUUAUUCAUUCCACUGUCCGUCCAGCGAGCCUCAGUCUCCCAGCGGACCCAGUAAAUACCUAUUUGUCUCCUCUAUCAGUCCGCGAGCACUAGUCUCACAGCGGACUCAAUAACAUCUAUUUUUCCACUGUUUGUCCAGCGAGCACUAGUCUCCCAGCGGACGCAGAAAUAUCCAUUGAUUUCCCUGUCCAUCCAGCGAGCGCUAGUCUCUCAGCGGAUGCAGUAAUUAUCUAAUUCCUUCGACCUGUCCAUUGGGCCUCAGUCUCCAAGGGGACACUGUAAAUACAUAUUUUUUCCUCUGCCUGUCCAGCGAGCACUAGUCUCUCAGCGGACGCAGGGACAUAAUUCGUCUCCCAUAUCUGUCCAGCGAGCCUCAGUCUCCCAGCGGACGCAGUAAUAUCUAUUGGUUUCCUCUGUCUGUCCAACGAGCACUAGUGUCCCAGCGGACGCAGUAAAUACCUAUUCAUUCCUCUACCCGUCCAGCGAGCCUCAGUCUCCCAGUGGACGCAGUAUGCAUCCAUCUCUUUCUGUUCUUCAUCCAGCGAGCCAGUCUUCCAGCGGAUGCAGGAAUAUAAUUUGUUUCCUCUAUCUGUCAUUACGCAUCUAGUCAAUAUAUCAUUACACCUCGCAGGCAGACGGUGGAGCCCGUCUUCCCGACAUCGUAACCGCUUCUUCCUCAACUAUUAACCAACAGGACCUGCCUGCUCCUCUACUUCUGCCAGAGGCAAUGCGAGAUCUCCUGGUCAAACGACCAUACUUCUAAAAACGUCAGCCCGCCAAAUCUCUGCGUUUUGGGGGGUUCGUAGUCUGGCGGCUGUCCUUUUGCUCUCUUGUUUUUGGGGGAGUACUCUGGGUUCGGGCCACAUCCCGAGCUCGGAGCCCUCCACCCGGACAGCACGCCAAAUACGCAUAAACUUACGGUAUUAAUAUACGUAGAUGUGAACUCGUGAAAUGCUGUUUUAUAACAAAGUUCGGGAGGAACAGUCGCAGUUCAUUAACCUGAUUAACACAAGUGGAGACCAAUCAGUAAUCAACUCAUGACAAGGUAUAAAUAACAGCAGAACCUAUCUCUGUUCAUUGACAGUUUUCAGCAUCCCUCCUCCACCCCAUUUCUCCUCACUUAUAGAUCCAUCUACUCUUACCACAACGGGGGGGGGAGUACUCUGGGUUCGGGCCACAUCCCGAGCUCGGAGCCCUCCACCCGGACAGCACGCCAAAUACGCAUAAACUUACGGUAUUAAUAUACGUAGAUGUGAACUCGUGAAACAAACACGAUCAGUUUCACCAGGGAUGAGCUGCUGAACAUUCGGCAGAACACACCACAAGAU